GACGAACGUAUGCUGGUGUGCAUACGCGAGUGUGGACUUGUGCUCUCUUAUAAGUAAUAAUUAGGAAAUUUAUUCCUAAUAUGCAGCAGGGGAAAUCAAGCCGUUGUUUUCUUUUUCAAUUUCAAAAAGAAAACAAAUUAGAUGCAGAUCCCUGGUUUGGAUCUGGCAUGAAUGAGCAGAGGAACAUGAUGGAGAAAAUACAGUGAAGCCGGAGGAUCUUCCCCUAUCAUGCUGCAUUAUUGAAGCUGCAAUAACAAGAAGGAAUGCGAGACUCUUGAGACUUUUGGCACCUUUUAAUAAAUAACCUCUUUGUACCACAGCCUAGGAUUACAAAACAAAUGGGAACAAUAAGCCAAGUUUGAGGGACAAAGGCAACAACAAAGCUCAUGCUAAUGCAACAACAGAUGGCUCCACUGGAGUAAGCAACCAAGCCUUUAAGGCAACGUCAGGUGUUGUUGGUGAACAGAAAGUUUUUCAGAUUAAAAACACAAUUUUUGAAAAGAAGCACACAGUUGACUGGCAAGAGGAAACAAACAUGCAUCCAACUUUCUAUUAGCAGCUCCUUCCAUACCACAUAGGAACAGAUGCCUCUGUUUAGACUGAAUUCCGUUUUGUCUAAAUACAAGAGAUAAA
Long non-coding RNA from Girardinichthys multiradiatus, 633 nucleotides. RefSeq lists it as uncharacterized. The record is from RefSeq and is a predicted model, not a curated record. The transcript has 5 exons. NCBI's taxonomy places the organism in Eukaryota, Metazoa, Chordata, Actinopteri, Cyprinodontiformes, Goodeidae.